This 450-nucleotide ribosomal RNA is filed under the name uncultured bacterium. Its description in RNAcentral is "bacterial SSU rRNA". It matches the Rfam family "Bacterial small subunit ribosomal RNA", at positions 774 to 1231 of the family's 1533-position model. The record is from RNAcentral.
AGCUAAUAGAUACCCCGGUAGUCCUAGCUGUAAACGAUGACCACCUAGGUGUGUAGAGUAUCGACCCUCUGCGUGCCGCAGUUAACACAAUAAGUGGUCCGCCUGGGGAGGUACGGUCGCAGAUUAAAACUACAAGAAUUAGACGGGGACCCGGCACAAGCAGCGGAGCGUGUGGUUUAAUUUACGAUGCAACGCGAAGAACCUUACCAGGGUUUGACAUACAAGUGCACCAGCCAGCGAUGGCUGUCCCCGCAAGGGGCGCUUGCACAGGUGCUGCAUGGCUGUCGUCAGCUCGUGCCGUGAGGUGUUGGGUUUAAGUCCCGCAACGAGCGCAACCCUUAUGACUAGUUGCAGCUUUCUAGUCAGACUGCCGCGUUCAACGCGGAGGAAGGUGGGGAUGACGUCAAGUCAGCACGGCCCUUACGUCCUGGGCUACACACACGCUACAAU